CGGGACGGGUGAGUAAUGCCUGGGAAACUGCCUGAUGGAGGGGGAUAACUACUGGAAACGGUAGCUAAUACCGCAUAACGUCGCAAGACCAAAGAGGGGGACCUUCGGGCCUCUUGCCAUCGGAUGUGCCCAGAUGGGAUUAGCUAGUAGGUGGGGUAACGGCUCACCUAGGCGACGAUCCCUAGCUGGUCUGAGAGGAUGGCCAGCCACACUGGAACUGAGACACGGUCCAG
Molecule: ribosomal RNA, 233 nt
Filed under: uncultured bacterium
Lineage: Bacteria
Description: partial 16S ribosomal RNA
Rfam family: Bacterial small subunit ribosomal RNA
Source: RNAcentral